Molecule: long non-coding RNA, 1066 nt
Filed under: Scleropages formosus (Asian bonytongue)
Lineage: Eukaryota; Metazoa; Chordata; Actinopteri; Osteoglossiformes; Osteoglossidae
Description: lncRNA (ENSSFOG00015025166.1)
Source: RNAcentral
CCAGCGGCUUGUGUCCAUGAACAUGCCCCUCAACAGCGAUGGCACCGUCACCUUUAAUGCCACAUUAUUUGCUCUGGUGAGAACAGCCCUCAAAAUCAAAACUGAAGGAAACUUUCAGCAGGCCAACGAAGAACUUCGAGCCAUUAUCAAGAAGAUAUGGAAACGAACCAGUAUGAAACUGCUGGACCAGGUCAUUCCCCCUAUAGGAGAUGACGAAGUAACUGUGGGCAAGUUCUAUGCCACCUUUCUUAUCCAAGACCACUUCCGUAAGAUAAUGAAGCGGCGGGAAGAGUACUAUGGGUACCGGCCCACAAAGAAGAACGCCACAGAGAUACAGGCAGGGCUGCGCAGCAUGGAGGAGGAGCCUCUCCCCGAGCUCCAGCGGGCUAUCUCUGGAGACCUUCCGACAGGAGAGGAGAUAGACAGGGCUGUGGAAGAGGGCAUCUACAGGCGAUCAGGGGGCCUGUUUGGGAACCAUGUGGAUCCGUUCAGCAUGGAACGAAACACCACCUUGCCGACUCAGGUGACCAGCCAUCGGCCCUUGCAAGUGUCCGAGAGCCGUACAGAGGAUGCAGAGCAAUCUCCUGGCUCCAUCUUUCUCCACAGCACAGAGUUCUUUCCCACAAUGCCAAACAAGGCCAACACCAGCUCCAAUAACAAUUGCAGACUAGGACCCCCAGAUGCUUUGCUGGAGUCACAGGGGCAGCAGAGAAGGGCCACAACAAGAGGUGAACACAGGAGCUCACCACUAUAAGGAAACAGCUGAGACUAAGGACAUUUAUGACAACAACAUCAAGCCAGAACACUUGUGAAUGGCUACGGUGAGAAGACAGUCAAAAUGCCCAAUGCGCAAAUUCUUUAAGCUGUUCUAAGACUAAUUGAAUUAAAUAAGCCUUCUUUAGGCCCUGUUCCCAUGGCAGAAUACGUGACGACAUAACAUGACACUAUAUGGAGCCAUUCUCCAGUGGAAAGGAAAUGGGACAUUACUGUCAGUGACCUAGCCAGAAAACUCAACAAAAAGGCUUUUCUAGUAAUAAAAAAGAGAAAUAACUUAUUUAUGAACGCA